RNAcentral lists this transfer RNA (72 nucleotides) under Ictidomys tridecemlineatus (thirteen-lined ground squirrel). Its description in RNAcentral is "Spermophilus tridecemlineatus (thirteen-lined ground squirrel) tRNA". It matches the Rfam family "tRNA". From Rfam's summary of the family: Transfer RNA (tRNA) molecules are approximately 80 nucleotides in length. Their secondary structure includes four short double-helical elements and three loops (D, anti-codon, and T loops). Lineage: Eukaryota; Metazoa; Chordata; Mammalia; Rodentia; Sciuridae. The record is from Rfam by way of RNAcentral.
GGGGAUAUGGCUCAGUAGCAGAGUGCUUGCCUAGCAUGCAUGAGGCCCUGGGUUUGAUUCCCUGGUACCACA